UACGUAGGGUGCAAGCGUUGUCCGGAAUUAUUGGGCGUAAAGAGCUCGUAGGCGGUUUGUCGCGUCGAAUGUGAAAACCCGGGGCUCAACCCCGGGCCUGCAUUCGAUACGGGCAGACUAGAGUUCGGUAGGGGAGUCUGGAAUUCCUGGUGUAGCGGUGAAAUGCGCAGAUAUCAGGAGGAACACCGGUGGCGAAGGCGGGACUCUGGGCCGGAUGACUGACGCUGAGGAGCGAAAGCGUGGGGGAGCAAACAGG
This 256-nucleotide ribosomal RNA is filed under the name uncultured bacterium. RNAcentral describes it as "partial 16S ribosomal RNA". It matches the Rfam family "Bacterial small subunit ribosomal RNA", at positions 524 to 776 of the family's 1533-position model. The record is from RNAcentral.